AGCCGAAACGCGGGUAUGGCCCGCGUCUGCCGGAGAUGGCCACCCGGCACUGAUGAGGCAGGCCAAC
This 67-nucleotide non-coding RNA is filed under the name Ruminococcaceae bacterium OttesenSCG-928-A11. Lineage: Bacteria; Bacillati; Bacillota; Clostridia; Eubacteriales; Oscillospiraceae. The record is from RNAcentral.